Molecule: long non-coding RNA, 736 nt
Filed under: Homo sapiens (human)
Lineage: Eukaryota; Metazoa; Chordata; Mammalia; Primates; Hominidae
Description: long independently transcribed non-coding RNA 2561 (LINC02561)
Source: RNAcentral
GUUGCAACAGCCUAAAGAAGUUUAAUUUCAAGAAAACAGGCUGAAAGAAUGAGAGUUGUGACCAACUCAGUAUACCACUGGAGGCUAUAUGAGCAAACAGAAAACUGUUCUUAUGAAAGCAGGAUGUUGGAAAACUGAUAACUGUGUCUGCCGCCAGAAGGGGUGCUGAGGGCAGUCAGGCCUCAUGCACAGUGUUCCUUGUGAUUAUCUAUAGGAACAUCUGAAGCCUGUUGUACAAAGAAAGCAAUUAUGUGGACCUGUGAUAAAUCAAGCAGUGGACCAACCAUUAGCUCUCCCUCCCUGCUCUUUCUACCUAACAAAUAUGAAAGACUGUAGAAACUCAGGGCUGCCUUUGCUCUCUAGAAGCAAGGAGCCCCUGACCCCCUCUUUCAAAAUAGGUCUUUUCGUCUUUGUCUUUACUUCUGCAUUCGACCCCCUUCAUUGACCCUGUAGAAACUGUCAGUGACAUUCUCUUUUCCCUUGUAUUUUCUAAAUUUUCUAUAAUUUGCAUGUUAUUUUAAUAAUUAGUGAGGGCAUCAAAGAAGUGGAUUUACAAUGGUGCAAACAUUGGCAGUUUCAGUUAGGAACUCAUAUUCCUGUUGGGUCAGAGAUUGAGCCCUGGAGGAAACCUCUGGUCUGAGGGCUACAGGGAAGCUCCUGUUUCAUGCCUAUUCCUGAAAUUAGGCCUGUCCCUCUGAUUUAGGGAAGAUUUAUUCCUCUGUUUGUCUGCAUACUA